This 509-nucleotide ribosomal RNA is filed under the name uncultured bacterium. RNAcentral describes it as "bacterial SSU rRNA". It matches the Rfam family "Bacterial small subunit ribosomal RNA", at positions 383 to 902 of the family's 1533-position model. The record is from RNAcentral.
CUGAUGCAGCGACGCCGCGUGAGGGAUGACGGCCUUCGGGUUGUAAACCUCUUUCAGUAGGGAAGAAGCGAAAGUGACGGUACCUGCAGAAGAAGCGCCGGCUAACUACGUGCCAGCAGCCGCGGUAAUACGUAGGGCGCAAGCGUUAUCCGGAAUUAUUGGGCGUAAAGAGCUCGUAGGCGGUUUGUCGCGUCUGCCGUGAAAGUCCGGGGCUCAACUCCGGAUCUGCGGUGGGUACGGGCAGACUAGAGUGAUGUAGGGGAGACUGGAAUUCCUGGUGUAGCGGUGAAAUGCGCAGAUAUCAGGAGGAACACCGAUGGCGAAGGCAGGUCUCUGGGCAUUAACUGACGCUGAGGAGCGAAAGCAUGGGGAGCGAACAGGAUUAGAUACCCUGGUAGUCCAUGCCGUAAACGUUGGGCACUAGGUGUGGGGGACAUUCCACGUUUUCCGCGCCGUAGCUAACGCAUUAAGUGCCCCGCCUGGGGAGUACGGCCGCAAGGCUAAAACUC